GCCUUGGCUAAGAGAGAGGCAGAUCUUGUCCAACUCAACUUACAGGUUCAAGCUGUUCUGAAGCGUAAAGAGGAAGAGGACCAGCAAAUGAAGCAAGUGGACAGACUCUACAGCUUGCCUUGGAAAAAGAGAAAACCAAAGUGAAAGACCUGAAAGAACAGGUGGCAGCAGCAAAGGCUGAAGCAGCCCAA
Molecule: long non-coding RNA, 191 nt
Organism: Larimichthys crocea (large yellow croaker)
Lineage: Eukaryota; Metazoa; Chordata; Actinopteri; Sciaenidae
Exons: 3
Source: RefSeq, a predicted model, not a curated record